CCAGGUCUGCAAAGAUACGAAGGAUGAUGAGUGCUUGCCACCAGCUUUCAUGGCCGCUCGCGGGAGAGACAUGCUUCAGGCGAUACCGCGGAAGAAGACCACCAUCAUAGCUAAGCUAAGCUAAGCUUAGUCACGGUGAUAGUAAACCAAACAUGCUGCAGUCCAGGCACCAAAGAAAUGAACAUCAGGGGAUGCAAAA
Hordeum vulgare subsp. vulgare (domesticated barley) is the source of this 199-nucleotide long non-coding RNA. RefSeq lists it as uncharacterized. Lineage: Eukaryota; Viridiplantae; Streptophyta; Magnoliopsida; Poales; Poaceae. The transcript has 2 exons. The record is from RefSeq and is a predicted model, not a curated record.